AAGCCGUACAAGAUUUCCGUCGUGAACCUGCGGAAGGGUCAUUAACGCGUAUCCAACAUUAUUUGUUGUGGCGAAGACUUUUAAGCUCAGUUCAUACCCUUUGGUUGGCGUAUCCAUCGCUGGAAAGCUAUGGCUUCCCGCAAAAACGAGGCGCCUGGAAUCUAAGUGAGUUGGAACCCCGAGCAACUGUUAGCAAUGGAUAUCUUGGCUCUC
Molecule: unclassified non-coding RNA, 213 nt
Filed under: fungal sp.
Lineage: Eukaryota; Fungi
Description: partial internal transcribed spacer region
Source: RNAcentral